Molecule: ribosomal RNA, 253 nt
Filed under: uncultured bacterium
Lineage: Bacteria
Description: partial 16S ribosomal RNA
Rfam family: Bacterial small subunit ribosomal RNA
Source: RNAcentral
UACGUAGGGUGCGAGCGUUAAUCGGAAUUACUGGGCGUAAAGCGUGCGCAGGCGGCUUGCUAAGACAGGUGUGAAAGCCCCGAGCUUAACUUGGGAAUGGCGCUUGUGACUGCAAGGCUAGAGUAUGUCAGAGGGGGGUAGAAUUCCACGUGUAGCAGUGAAAUGCGUAGAGAUGUGGAGGAAUACCGAUGGCGAAGGCAGCCCCCUGGGACGUCACUGACGCUCAUGCACGAAAGCGUGGGGAGCAAACAGG